AUUUGUAAGAUUGCCAUAGGCUUGAUCUCUUCAUUAUGUCGAUGAUGGUUCUAGAUUUUUGAUGUGUGGAUGAUGAUUCUAGCUAAAUUUUAUAUGGCUGCUAUUGAUUUCUACCAUUAUUUUAGUUGUUAUGUUAGUUUAAAUGACUCUACUGGUUAAGAUUGAUAUUGUACUAUUGUAGGUUUCCUUUCAAUAUUACUUGGGGAAUAUCGGAUGCUGCAUUGCCACAAGGAUAGCGCUUGAAUCUUGACUCUAAAGUUGAAAAUAUCAUAAAAAAUUUUUUAGAGCUGUUAGGAUUUACCCAGCUGUUUUGGUGGUGCUUUGAACCAUUUCUCCUUCUUAGUACAGUGCUAGCAAUAACCUCCACCCAUGAUUUAGUAUUUUUGUCAUGUUAUAACCUCUUUUAGGUAUUUGGGCUUUGGUACAGGGGUAAUUUAGUACGCGUUUUUCUUGAAUCAUAUGUCUGUCUUUGUCAGCUUUAGUCAUGCUGGAAGUGUUGUGUUACCAUGAUUGAUGUUUAGCAAACAUUGUAGCUAGUUGUGCUUGUAUAGUCUGCCCAGCACCAUUGUGACACAUCCAAUGAUCCUAAGCUUCCUGCCUUCCUAUAAUCCUAAUUCCUAUAGGAUCAGAGAGCUAAGGAUUCUGAAAUCGACAGUCGACACAAAUCACUCAGCGACAACCACUCUAUGUGCAUGCCAAAUUUUGGUAUUCUAUUAAUGGUAUUCUAAAGAAAAUGCAACAACAAAGGUGUCAACUAAUUGUCAGAGGUUCUUUUCAAGGUGGUUUUCUGAGCAAACAGCAUACAAUCAGAUAUCAAGGCGAUGUGGCAAGCUGGAUUUCGAAAAGAUGUUGAGGUCCACUUUGCUUUGCGGAAUAUAACAUCAAAUAGUUCUUAGCAGCAGAUGUAUUUAUUAGAACAAUUCUCAGGUAAUUCUUGAGUCCAUACUUUCUGUAACAUCCUAUCGACACAGCACUUGUAAAUUGUAGGGAAAAAUCUAAAAGAUAAGUAAUAUUGUUACACAAAUUUCUUAAUUAGGGAAAAGUAAUUUGUUUUUUUACUAAAGUUAUAUAUCAAACAAAUCCUUAACAUCUUGUGUGUGUAUGUAUGUUUGAUGGGUCCCUUUGAUCAAAGUAAGCCGUCAGAUUAUCCAUUAUUUAUAAGUUUUUUUAAGAGAUAUAUAAAUAAUGUUUGUGCAGAUCACCGUCUUGAAUAAAAGAACUACGUGUCUAGUUCUUGAACCGCUAUAUUUUUGUCAAAAAGUACUUUUGAUCAUAAUUUACCACUUUAGAAAGUGGAUGUGGGAGUGGAAGUAAACAUUAAGGUGGGAAUGACCCACUUAUCAAAUGACACUCUCACUUUAGUAAGUAAAAAAAUACCAUUACAAUCCAGGAUUAAGGUUGGCCAUGUCAUGUAAAUCUAAGAAUAUCCAUUCUAAUCCCGGUAAUGCCCUAACCGGACCCAUUAAUACUUACUUAAUUAGGAAACUUUAGUUCUCUGUAGGACCCACACAAUCAACAUAAUCCUAAGUUGUCUGGCGCAACUCUUAUUUUUAUUGGUACAUUUUCAACUAACAUUUCUAGUAUGGGACCCAUUCAAGAACAUAGUAUCCAAAAAGUUGUCUAAUGAAUAAGUUGGUGAUUACUGAGAAAUUACCCUUUUGAGACCGGCUUUAAUUACCAUUCCUAUAAAUGAUUAGUGUUUUAAGCAUUUGGCUUAACAACAAACAACCUUAAAUUCGAUUCAGUUACUCAGACUCCACCCACUAAACACUCCCAAAGGUACAAAAAUGAUACAAAUUCCAGGUGCAGAACAGGUUGUGGUUGUAAUCGAGCCAGAGCCUGCAAAACCCCAAUUUGACAAUUUCUUAACAGCCUCAUUUUGGUUCAGAUGCCUAGGCCACAUCUUUAACCUUGCAGCAAUACGAUUAUACGGUGGUGUAGUUGUCCCUCUAGGCCACCUAUGGACUAUCUAUUACCCUCGAAUAGUAUUUGGUGAAGAAGGUAUCCUCAUGCCCCGUUCUGCACUUGGAUUUAUCAUCAAUGUGCUGCUUGCUUUUGUAGAAAUUAAGUCGCAGGGGCAGCCUGGAUUCCCUUUCCAUACUCACCCUAAAGCUAUUAACAUUUCUGUUACCAGUCUCCUCGCCUAUGGCUUGAUUUCUGCAGGUGAACUUCUCACACGUCUUGAAAACACUUCUAUUUAUGGCGUUAUUGCUCGCUUAGGAAGGAUUGGUUCUUUGUGCACUUUGGUUGCAUCAUUGUUUUAUUUGUUUUAUUUCUGAGACUGGAUAUUGUAUAAGUUCAUGUAAGAGUACUAAAUAAAGCCCUGUAACUGCGUAA
Molecule: long non-coding RNA, 2337 nt
Organism: Erigeron canadensis
Lineage: Eukaryota; Viridiplantae; Streptophyta; Magnoliopsida; Asterales; Asteraceae
Exons: 5
Source: RefSeq, a predicted model, not a curated record